This 377-nucleotide ribosomal RNA is filed under the name uncultured bacterium. RNAcentral's name for it is "bacterial SSU rRNA". It matches the Rfam family "Bacterial small subunit ribosomal RNA", at positions 523 to 898 of the family's 1533-position model. The record is from RNAcentral.
AUACGUAGGUGGCGAGCGUUGUCCGGAAUUACUGGGUGUAAAGGGCGUGUAGGCGGGGGCAUAAGUCAGAUGUGAAAUACCGGGGCUUAACUCCGGGGCUGCAUCUGAAACUAUGUUUCUUGAGUGCUGGAGAGGAAAGCGGAAUUCCCAGUGUAGCGGUGAAAUGCGUAGAUAUUGGGAGGAACACCAGUGGCGAAGGCGGCUUUCUGGACAGCAACUGACGCUGAGGCGCGAAAGCGUGGGGAGCGAACAGGAUUAGAUACCCUGGUAGUCCACGCCGUAAACGAUGGAUACUAGGUGUAGGAGGUAUCGACCCCUUCUGUGCCGGAGUAAACACAAUAAGUAUCCCACCUGGGGAGUACGGCCGCAAGGUUGAA